This 472-nucleotide ribosomal RNA is filed under the name uncultured bacterium. RNAcentral describes it as "bacterial SSU rRNA". It matches the Rfam family "Bacterial small subunit ribosomal RNA", at positions 8 to 507 of the family's 1533-position model. The record is from RNAcentral.
AGAGUUUGAUCAUGGCUCAGGAUGAACGCUGGCGGCGUGCCUAACACAUGCAAGUCGAGCGAUCUUCUUCGGAAGAGAGCGGCGGACGGGUGAGUAACGCGUGGGUAACCUGCCCCAUACACAUGGAUAACAUACCGAAAGGUAUGCUAAUACAAGAUGAUAUAAGAGAUUCGCAUGGAUUUCUUAUCAAAGCUCCGGCGGUAUGAGAUGGACCCGCGUCUGAUUAGCUAGUUGGUAAGGUAAUGGCUUACCAAGGCGACGAUCAGUAGCCGACCUGAGAGGGUGAUCGGCCACAUUGGAACUGAGACACGGUCCAAACUCCUACGGGAGGCAGCAGUGGGGAAUAUUGCACAAUGGGCGAAAGCCUGAUGCAGCAACGCCGCGUGAGCGAUGAAGGCCUUCGGGUCGUAAAGCUCUGUCCUCAAGGAAGGUAAUGACGGUACUUGAGGAGGAAGCCCCGGCUAACUACGUG